This is a long non-coding RNA of Ostrinia nubilalis (European corn borer), 1115 nucleotides long. RefSeq lists it as uncharacterized. NCBI's taxonomy places the organism in Eukaryota, Metazoa, Arthropoda, Insecta, Lepidoptera, Crambidae. The transcript has 3 exons. The record is from RefSeq and is a predicted model, not a curated record.
UGCAUGAAGGCCUAAAUGCUGGUCUUAGUGUUGCUGCUACAGUUUGCGACAUGGAUGGUGUGAAUAGGCGAGCACUGGCUAUACUGGGUGCUACAGCAGAAAACCCGUCUAUAAAAAUAGACAAUGUGGAAGUAGCCACAAUUUUCGAUCCUCCACAUUUAAUAAAAUGUUUCCGAAACAUGUUUCUAAAAUAUGACAUCGAGUGUGUAACAGAUAUAAAUUCUGAAAAUAAAGCUGGAGUUGGUCUUGCAAAAUGGAGCCACAUAAAAGAAUUUUAUGACAUGGAUAGCAGCAAUCAGUUUUUUGUUUAUGCACCCGCUUUAAGAAUAGAACAUUUAGACCCCAAUACAAAGCAGAAGAUGAGAGUAAAGUUGGCUACUCAAGUUUUGAGUCACACAGUUGCAUCAGGAAUGAUGGCAAAAAUAGCAGAAGGUUCACUGUCUACUGAAGCCAUCGCUACAGUCAACGUGAUAGAGAAUAUGGACAAAAUAUUUGACACUCUCAACAGUGACUCCACAGAUUUGAGGCGAGGAAAAAUAUUUUCCACAAAUUUAAGGAAGAGCACACCACAUUUGGAUUUCAUGAAAAAAAUGAAAAGUUUUUUUAAAAAUUUAAAAUUUGUGGGUUCCAGCCGUGCACCACCUUCCAAAGAAGGAUGGGUAUGGACCUUAAAUGCAGUAGAACAGGUGUGGAAAAACCUUAUUAAAAACAUAAAGAUGUCCAGAGUCUGUCCACACGCAGGUUGCAACAAGACCCAUUGGAAAACCUGUUCGGCUGCAUUCGAGGAAAUUGUGGCGCUAAUCCAACUGCUGGUCAAUUUGUUGCAGCUUUAAAAACAGCAAUAUUAACUAAUUUAACUCAUCAAGGCACUGGAAAUUGUGAGAAUGAUAACUGCAAUGCAAUUAUCAAUAAUUAUAAAAUGGUUUUAAGUAAUCCGGUCACAAAUAUAUGCACAGAAAGAAAAAACUUCUCCGUAGAAGAAGAAGAGGAACUACACUUCUCUGAAGAAGUUUUAACUGGGGAAAUAAAUGCUUGUGCAUAUGUUUGUGGCUUUUUGUAUAAAAAGAUCGAAAGUCACUGUAAAUUAUUAAUGGGACAAUAUUAUUUGAUCCUCU